AGCAGCCGCGGUAAUUCCAGCUCCAAUAGCGUAUAUUAAAGUUGUUGCAGUUAAAAAGCUCGUAGUUGAAUUUCGGGAUCAAUUUAUCGGUCGUGCCAAUGGUAUGAACUGGUACAAUUGGUUUCUCCCUUCUGACGAAGCAUGAUGUCAUUAAUUUGGUGUCGUGGGGAAUCAGGACUGUUACUUUGAAAAAUUAGAGUGUUUAAAGCAAGCAUUAGCUUGAAUACAUUAGCAUGGAAUAAUGAAAUAGGACGUUUGAUCCUAUUUCGUUGGUUUCUAGGAUCGACGUAAUGAUUAAUAGGGAUAGUUGGGGGCAUUAGUAUUCAAUUGUCAGAGGUGAAAUUCUUGGAUUUAUUGAAGACUAACUACUGCGAAAGCAUUUGCCAAGGAUGUUUUCAUUAAUCAAGAACGAAAGUUA
This 418-nucleotide ribosomal RNA is filed under the name uncultured Glomus. Its description in RNAcentral is "SSU rRNA". It matches the Rfam family "Eukaryotic small subunit ribosomal RNA", at positions 569 to 992 of the family's 1831-position model. The record is from RNAcentral. Lineage: Eukaryota; Fungi; Glomeromycota; Glomeromycetes; Glomerales; Glomeraceae.